This 87-nucleotide small nucleolar RNA is filed under the name Myotis lucifugus (little brown bat). RNAcentral's name for it is "Small nucleolar RNA SNORA61 (ENSMLUG00000027033.1)". Lineage: Eukaryota; Metazoa; Chordata; Mammalia; Chiroptera; Vespertilionidae. The record is from RNAcentral.
ACCCAUCUUGGUGUCGUAAAAGGAGGAAAAGUAAUACUGAAGCUGGCUUCAUGGUGCUUAUAGUCUGUGGGCUAGUUUCAAAAAAGG